GCCCCUGUAGCGCAAUUGGAAGCGCGUAUGACUUCUACGACUCAAUCGGUUAUCAUAAGGUUGCGAGUUCGAGCCUCGCCAGGGGUU
RNAcentral lists this transfer RNA (87 nucleotides) under Penicillium coprophilum. It matches the Rfam family "tRNA". From Rfam's summary of the family: Transfer RNA (tRNA) molecules are approximately 80 nucleotides in length. Their secondary structure includes four short double-helical elements and three loops (D, anti-codon, and T loops). Further hydrogen bonds mediate the characteristic L-shaped molecular structure. tRNAs have two regions of fundamental functional importance: the anti-codon, which is responsible for specific mRNA codon recognition, and the 3' end, to which the tRNAs corresponding amino acid is attached (by aminoacyl-tRNA synthetases). tRNAs cope with the degeneracy of the genetic code in two manners: having more than one tRNA (with a specific anti-codon) for a particular amino acid; and 'wobble' base-pairing, i.e. permitting non-standard base-pairing at the 3rd anti-codon position. Lineage: Eukaryota; Fungi; Ascomycota; Eurotiomycetes; Eurotiales; Aspergillaceae. The record is from Rfam by way of RNAcentral.